UUUUUGAUUAUUUUUAGUCACUAUCAGUGGAAGAAAAUGUGUACAUGAAAACAGUAAAAGAAGAAAAAUGAAACCACCAUAAAAAUUAAAUGGGGAAACGAUGGGUGACCAUAAUGAGGAAGUAGAAGACGGAGAAGGAGGAAGGUGGCGAAAGAGAAAGAAGAAGGGAAGAAAAGAGAGAAGGAGGAGAAAGAUGACGAGAAGAAGAAAAAAGAAGACGAAGAAGGAAAGUAAAAAAGAAAAAGAAAAAAAAAGAGGAGGACAAAAGGAUGAAGAAGAAGAAAAUUGUUGAGAAUGAGAAAGAGUAAGAAGAGAAAAAAAAGAAUGAAAAUGAGAAUGUGUUUGAUUCUAUUUAUAUUUGAUGUUAGGAGUUUUCAGGCCCCUAAGACAAAUGUUGUAGUAUGAGUGAAUGUCGAAC
This 418-nucleotide long non-coding RNA is filed under the name Brassica napus (rape). RNAcentral describes it as "long non-coding RNA (BNAP_LNC016339)". The record is from RNAcentral. Lineage: Eukaryota; Viridiplantae; Streptophyta; Magnoliopsida; Brassicales; Brassicaceae.